Molecule: ribosomal RNA, 437 nt
Filed under: uncultured bacterium
Lineage: Bacteria
Description: partial 16S ribosomal RNA
Rfam family: Bacterial small subunit ribosomal RNA
Source: RNAcentral
AGCGAACGCUGGCGGCAGGCUUAACACAUGCAAGUCGAGCGGGCAUCCUUGUGGUGUCAGCGGCAGACGGGUGAGUAACGCGUGGGAACGUGCCCUUCGGUUCGGAAUAACUCAGGGAAACUUGAGCUAAUACCGGAUACGUGCGAGAGCAGAAAGGUUUAUCUGCCGAAGGAUCGGCCCGCGUCUGAUUAGCUAGUUGGUGAGGUUAUGGCUCACCAAGGCGACGAUCAGUAGCUGGUCUGAGAGGAUGAUCAGCCACACUGGGACUGAGACACGGCCCAGACUCCUACGGGAGGCAGCAGUGGGGAAUAUUGUACAAUGCGGGCAACCCUGAUCCAGCCAUGCCGCGUGAGUGAUGACGGCCUUAGGGUUGUAAAGCUCUUUUCUCCGGGACGAUAAUGACGGUACCGGAGGAAUAAGCCCCGGCUAACUUCGUG